Molecule: ribosomal RNA, 491 nt
Filed under: uncultured bacterium
Lineage: Bacteria
Description: partial 16S ribosomal RNA
Rfam family: Bacterial small subunit ribosomal RNA
Source: RNAcentral
AGUGAACGCUGGCGGUAGGCCUAACACAUGCAAGUCGAACGGCAGCACAGUAAGAGCUUGCUCUUACGGGUGGCGAGUGGCGGACGGGUGAGGAAUACAUCGGAAUCUACUUUUUCGUGGGGGAUAACGUAGGGAAACUUACGCUAAUACCGCAUACGACCUACGGGUGAAAGCAGGGGAUCUUCGGACCUUGCGCGAUUGAAUGAGCCGAUGUCGGAUUAGCUAGUUGGCGGGGUAAAGGCCCACCAAGGCGACGAUCCGUAGCUGGUCUGAGAGGAUGAUCCCCCCCCCUGGAACUGGGACCCGGUCCAGACCCCCACGGGGGGCAGCAGUGGGGAAUUUUGGCCAAUGGGCGCAACCCUGAUCCCGCCAUCCCGCGUGGGUGAAGAAGGCCUUCGGGUUUUAAACCCCUUUUUUUGGGAAAAAAAAGCAGCAGUUUAAUCCCCCGCUUUUCCGACGGUCCCCAAAGAAUAAGCCCCGGCUAACUUCGU